This is a long non-coding RNA of Cryptomeria japonica (Japanese cedar), 1798 nucleotides long. RefSeq lists it as uncharacterized. The record is from RefSeq and is a predicted model, not a curated record. The transcript is spliced from 3 exons. Lineage: Eukaryota; Viridiplantae; Streptophyta; Pinopsida; Cupressales; Cupressaceae.
GUAAAUUUCCUUUUAUAAUUAUAAGGAACCCUAACCCUAGAAUUUUCAAUGGAGGAGGAACUCGAACCCUAAAAAUUUUCGUAAACAAGGAACCCGACCCCUGUAAACCCAACGCCAUUUUUUUGCUGCAGCUGCACUUUUAAGUUCUGAGCGCUUGAUUAAGAGAAUAAAGUGUUAAUGGAGGAAGAUGAAAAUAUCCCAAAAUGCAGCAACCUGCGGUAUGGUUUAUAGAUUUACCUGGAGGCCGUUGUUUCUUAGAAUGGGCGGAAUUGGAAAGAGAACCCACUGUUGGGCUUUAGAUGCAAGCGAACGAAAUAGUGUAUAUUCUGAGAACCAAGUCGCAGAAGCUGUGGUUUCAAAAAUACUAAAUCGCAGCAGCAAAUUUUGAAAGAUUUUUUCUCAGAUUAUAUUGGUGGGACUGAUAUAAUUAAGAGAUUGUAAAGAUGGUCGAGGUCAUCUGUCAUCCCUGUUUAUCUGAAACAGGAUGUUGUAGGAGUUGGGAGGCCUUCCUCAAGGUAGCAAAAUUUUGAUGUGUGUAGUCUCUAUCCCACGAAGAUUGCCGAUGAAGAUUGUCUCAUGAAAAUGCUAUUGGCCUUCAAAAUAUUUGGUGUUCAGUUAUAUAAGCAAAGCUAUCAAGCUGAGAAAUUGCUCAAUAGAUAUGAAUUGUUCUUUAAUAAGACUAGAUUCAAAGGAAAAAAUAUUUUAGCUUUCCAAAUUGAGUGUAUAGACAAUACACAUUGCCUCCAUUGUAGUGAGAAAUAACUUUCUGCCCAUGCAACCAAUAUAAACUUUGGUUUCAUGAAUUAAAGGCCAAACACGAAUUGAGGUAUAAAUAGUAAGUCAAGGAAGAUCAACCGAGAUAUUUUAGGCUGAUGGAUGGAAAUACAAUGGAAAAUACUGCAAUUCUGCAAUUGUACUUACACCUUCUGAGUUGUGUUCACUUACACCACUACAUCUUUCUAUGAUGUUUUUUUCAAAGUGCUUUGAACAAGAGAACAUAAAUAAAUUUCAUCAAUUCAGAUGGUGCCAUUUUCAUCUAGAUCACUCAGCCUUGAAGUCUACUGAAGUGGAGCAUAUACAAAGUUCCAAAGAAAAUACCCCACAGAAGGAUUGUCAAUACCCUGGUCUGUCAAGCACUUUUGGCUGUCUCUGCAUAUUUUCUCAAAGAGUUAUAAAUGAGCCGAGGAUCAAUUAUUUGGUCAGCUAUGCCUCUUUUCUGCCAAUGCAUAGACCAUAGAUAGCCUCACCAUUUGACUAUUUUGGCUCUUUUUCUAUAUUUUCCAGCAUACAGAUCAACCCGUGAAAACACCUAUCUCAUGCCGGUAAACUUUGUUAGAAAAGGCUAUAUUUUGUGCCUUGUUCCAGUUGGGAAGUUAUCUCACAUCAUCAAAUCUAUUUCACACCGGUAAAAUUUGCCAGAAAACUUGUAUUCAAUUUGGGAGGUGUAUCCUUAAUGAUGAAUUACCUUUCUCUACAAUGAGGGAAUCAUCUUUAUCUGGUUUCUAAUUUUUUGGUGUGAAUAACAUGUUGAAAUAAGUGAAUGUCUGGAAGAAAUUGCAUGAAUGCCUUCAAAGAUAAUAUCUAAUAUCUUUGCAGCAAAUGCAUAUCAAUAUGGGUCAAUGUAAUUUACUACUGGUAUAGCUAGGAUAGCUAUUUUUGCAGUAAAUGCAGUAUUAACGAUGUUACUACUGGCUGCCAUUUGCCAUACGAAAUUGUAAAAAUGAAUGUUCUUCCUUUGGUAUAUUGGAAUUUUCCAGGAUAACUACUUUUGUAUAUAUUUCUGUUAUAAUAUCUUCUA